Molecule: ribosomal RNA, 252 nt
Filed under: uncultured bacterium
Lineage: Bacteria
Description: partial 16S ribosomal RNA
Rfam family: Bacterial small subunit ribosomal RNA
Source: RNAcentral
UACGGAGGAUGCGAGCGUUAUCCGGAUUUAUUGGGUUUAAAGGGUGCGUAGGCGGAUCGUUAAGUCAGUGGUCAAAUUGAGGGGCUCAACCCCUUCCCGCCAUUGAAACUGGCGAUCUUGAGUGGAAGAGAAGUAUGCGGAAUGCGUGGUGUAGCGGUGAAAUGCAUAGAUAUCACGCAGAACCCCGAUUGCGAAGGCAGCAUGCCGGCUUCCGACUGACGCUGAAGCACGAAAGCGUGGGGAUCGAACUGG